AAUGUUUUUAAUUUAAUUUUUAUAAUUUGUGUUUUCUUUCUUUCAUAUCUCUUAAUUUUAUGUACCUUGUGUCUUGUAUAUAAGAUUAUUUGACCAGGAGAAGGGAAAGGGAAUCACAGAAACAGUAGGUCAAAGGACAAACUAAUGCAAGAGUGACACUCACUUGACAAUAGGUUAUCAAUCUUACAACUGGGGGGAGCAUAUAGAGGGUUGAGCAGAAGAAAAUGAGGGAUGGAGUAACACUGUUUAAAAGCAAAUAUAAUCAUUCCUUUUUUAAUGUAACUGUAGCCACCUCCCCACUCAUCACCUUAUCAAUAAAUA
Molecule: long non-coding RNA, 321 nt
Organism: Perognathus longimembris pacificus (Pacific pocket mouse)
Lineage: Eukaryota; Metazoa; Chordata; Mammalia; Rodentia; Heteromyidae
Exons: 3
Source: RefSeq, a predicted model, not a curated record